CCUACGGGCGGCAGCAGUGGGGAAUAUUGGACAAUGGGGGCAACCCUGAUCCAGCCAUGCCGCGUGUGUGAAGAAGGCCCUCGGGUUGUAAAGCACUUUCAGUGAGGAAGAACGCCUGGUGGUUAAUACCCAUCAGGAAAGACAUCACUCACAGAAGAAGCACCGGCUAACUCAGUGCCAGCAGCCGCGGUAAUACGGAGGGUGCGAGCGUUAAUCGGAAUUACUGGGCGUAAAGCGCGCGUAGGUGGCUUGAUAAGCCGGUUGUGAAAGCCCCGGGCUCAACCUGGGAACGGCAUCCGGAACUGUCAAGCUAGAGUGCAGGAGAGGAAGGUAGAAUUCCCGGUGUAGCGGUGAAAUGCGUAGAGAUCGGGAGGAAUACCAGUGGCGAAGGCGGCCUUCUGGACUGACACUGACACUGAGGUGCGAAAGCGUGGGUAGCAAACAGGAUUAGAUACCCUGGUAGUC
RNAcentral lists this ribosomal RNA (465 nucleotides) under Vreelandella stevensii. Its description in RNAcentral is "partial 16S ribosomal RNA". It matches the Rfam family "Bacterial small subunit ribosomal RNA", at positions 338 to 795 of the family's 1533-position model. Lineage: Bacteria; Pseudomonadati; Pseudomonadota; Gammaproteobacteria; Oceanospirillales; Halomonadaceae. The record is from RNAcentral.